AAAUAAGAAGUUUCACACAUCAGAGUGGAAACAGAAAGUUAACUGCUUGUAAUUAGGAUAAUUUACCUCUGGUUCUUGGAAGAUAAAUACCUUUUCCCUUACUAAGUUUUACACUGAAUUUAGCAAUACUAUAAAACAUAUUGAGGGAAAUCUGUAUCUAAAACACCCACUGCCAGUGCAGUUGCCAAGAAUUGUUUCUUGCAGACUAGUACUAGUGAAUGCUGCCUGAAGAUUGGAACCUUUGCCCAGCACUGCUAUCCUGAGAUGAGCCAGCCAGGAAAUGGAAGAGUUGAUUUUGUUCAAACAAGCAAGCAGGAAAUCAACCUUUUGCAGUUGUUUGAAGUAGAGAGAGCCUUCAGCGAGGAAAGGAAAAUCAGAUGAUUUUGGAAAAUAUGGACAAUUUUCAACUGACUAGAAGCCCGGGGUCUCUGAAGUUCUGAAUCUGAAAUAGUAUAACAUUUUUGUGAAAAAAUAACUUGC
Molecule: long non-coding RNA, 480 nt
Filed under: Cyanistes caeruleus (blue tit)
Lineage: Eukaryota; Metazoa; Chordata; Aves; Passeriformes; Paridae
Description: lncRNA (ENSCCEG00000009338.1)
Source: RNAcentral